AUGAAUUGGAUACUUCAAGAGAAGAGAAGAGAAUUGUCAGAUAAGGAGAGGCAUGGUGUUUACUUCGCCUUGCUGGUAAUCGAGCUCAGAGAUGGGUCUGUUCAACCAGACGACAAGCUGCUAGUCUCAAACCUGUUGGACAUAAGUGUACGAUCUGUUGAAAGAAUCUGGGAAGACGCCAAAAGGCAAAUUGCCGAUGGCAAAGAAGUAGAUGUCUCAAGCAAGAAGCCGGGAAGAUCUGGCCGAAAGAGAAAGGAGCUAAAUCUAGAGAGGACCUCAACAAUCCCACUGAAUAAAAGAAGAACAAUUCGAUCUCUGGCAUGGUAUCUAGGUGUGGCCCGAUCGACCCUACAUAAGAGGUUCCAGUUG
Molecule: ribosomal RNA, 369 nt
Filed under: Triticum aestivum (bread wheat)
Lineage: Eukaryota; Viridiplantae; Streptophyta; Magnoliopsida; Poales; Poaceae
Description: partial small subunit ribosomal RNA
Source: RNAcentral